UCUUUGUCGGCACUCCCUUGAAGGGGCGGCGGAAGUUGAUUUCUACCUUUAUUGGCGCUGCUCUUAGCUUGUUUAUCACCGUCGCUCACGAGGUAUUCUCACUCUCUGCGGCAACGCGCUUUCGGUUCCGCCGCGUGAUCGCAACGGAGGCGCGCGAAACGUGAGUUUUCUCUCUGUCGGCACUGUCUUGCAGUGGCGCUGAAGUUGAUUUCUAUCUUGAUUGGCGCUGUCUUAGCUUGUUUAUCAGCGCCGAUCACGAGGUAUUCUCGCUGUCUGCGGCAACGCGCUUACGCGGUUUCGGUCCCGCCGAAUGAUCGCAACGGAGGCGCGCGAAACGUGAGUUUUCUCUCUGUCGGCACUGUCUUGCAGUGGCGCUGAAGUUGAUUUCUAUCUUGAUUGGCGCUGUCUUAGCUUGUUUAUCAGCGCCGAUCACGAGGUAUUCUCGCUGUCUGCGGCAACGCGCUUACGCGGUUUCGGUCCCGCCGAAU
Long non-coding RNA from Dermacentor silvarum, 488 nucleotides. RefSeq lists it as uncharacterized. The transcript is spliced from 3 exons. Lineage: Eukaryota; Metazoa; Arthropoda; Arachnida; Ixodida; Ixodidae. The record is from RefSeq and is a predicted model, not a curated record.